RNAcentral lists this long non-coding RNA (535 nucleotides) under Helianthus annuus (common sunflower). Lineage: Eukaryota; Viridiplantae; Streptophyta; Magnoliopsida; Asterales; Asteraceae. The record is from RNAcentral.
GUUAAGCUAGCUUUGCACAGGAAUGUUAAGAGUUUUAUGCAGGAAAAAUCAUUAUUUGAGGGGGAGUGAAUGUUGGAGAUGAGAAACUCAAAAGAUGUCAACAUCAAAGUGAGCAAGUUAGUUGGUGAUAAAAGAGAAAGAGAUGAAGAUAGAGAGAGAGAAGCCUAGAGACUGAUCAAGACUGAAGACGUGAAGACACAACAUUGUCAUGACUCGAUGGUCGACUCGUUAACAUCUGAGGGAGAGUCUGUUGGUGCAUGCAUCUGUCGACUUAGUCUUGUAUCGAGUCUUAGCAUUAGAUUGUUAGAUUAGGGCACGUUAUACGAGAAAACAGGAGAUUGUAUGUAUUUUAGGAAAUAGUUUCGCUUAUAGUGACAUAGGAAGGUUUCGCUUAUCUGUCAUUGUAUAGUUCCGCUUGGAUGUCAGCUAAAGGUUUCGCUUGUAUGACAUGUACAAACAAGCGAACCUCAGCAACUAUAAAUAGUCCCAUAAGCGAAACAUUUGUAACAGUCUUGAAUACUCGUACCGAAGUGCU